Molecule: long non-coding RNA, 536 nt
Organism: Ictalurus punctatus (channel catfish)
Lineage: Eukaryota; Metazoa; Chordata; Actinopteri; Siluriformes; Ictaluridae
Source: Ensembl
GGAAAGUCUGAUCAAACACACUUCAUCCACUGUUAUAUGGAAAAUAUAUGGUACUUUAUUAACUCUUUAUUAAUACUUUAAAAUGAUGAUGAUUAUUAUUAUUAUUUUAGUGAGGUAGGCGAGGUAGGCCCUCCCAGUGACACAUCAAGGCCCCCGAAUGCCCUGACGCUGACCCUGCGAUUGUGUAUGUAGCCUCAGAACAUCUGUUUUCUGAAGCUAUGCCAUAUUGUAGUAGAGGGGAGCUACAGUAUGAGAAAGCCGGUGUUCAGGAUCAAACUGAUCAGGUGAUGGGCCCUCUGUGCUGAUCCUGAUCAAGUCUUCCAAGGUUGAAUUGCGUACCUUUGAUUUGAUCCUGUUUUGAGCUGAAAAUCCACAUUCACACUGAGCAGUCAAAAUUGGUAGGACAAGCAAUAUCUCAACUAGACGCAUUCUGCUCAAAACACAUGCUGUGUCGUUGUCAUAUGCCUUGCACACAUCCAGUCAAUUUUUCUUCAUUAGCAAUUAAAGUUACCAGUUUUGUUGUAUCUUGAUUAUGU